UACACACCGCCCGUCACACCACGAAAGUGGUCUUAACCAGAAGUGAGUGCGCUAACCUCGUGAGGCAGCUUACUAAGGUUGAGGCCGUGAUUGGGGUG
This 98-nucleotide ribosomal RNA is filed under the name uncultured bacterium. RNAcentral describes it as "partial 16S ribosomal RNA". It matches the Rfam family "Bacterial small subunit ribosomal RNA", at positions 1384 to 1482 of the family's 1533-position model. The record is from RNAcentral.